ACGCCACGGGGCCAGGCAGUUGAGGGCAGCUAGGGUGUCAGACUUGCCCAGAGGGACGUGGGCUGCAGCAAGUGGAAAGAGAAUCAUAGCAGCCACUGGCUUUGCAGCCACACGGACCAAAGUUCAAAUCCCAGUAACUCACGCUCUGGCAGUGUGAUCUUGAGUAUCACGAACACCUCUGAGCCUCGGUGUCCUCAUGAAAUGGGGAGAAGAGUUGAGGUUCUCGUAGUGAUCAGCGAGCUGAUGUCUGUGCAGGCCUAGCACAGGGACUGGCACACAGGGACUCUGAUCAGGGGAGGGAAAGCAGUGAGAGAGCAUAGCUUCCCAGAGAGCUCUGAAGGGGUCGGGGGACCAAAGGGGAAAGAAAAUCACAAGCUCUCUUUGGGACUACCUGUAGGGUGAGCCAGGUUUCAUGAGCAAGGAAAACCUCCACUUCAUUUCCAGUCUCUCCAUAAAGCCUGAUGUUCCUCCUUUUGUGUUCCUCUGGGUUAU
Molecule: long non-coding RNA, 492 nt
Filed under: Homo sapiens (human)
Lineage: Eukaryota; Metazoa; Chordata; Mammalia; Primates; Hominidae
Description: novel transcript
Source: RNAcentral